Molecule: ribosomal RNA, 227 nt
Filed under: Thermococci archaeon
Lineage: Archaea; Methanobacteriati; Methanobacteriota; Thermococci
Description: partial 16S ribosomal RNA
Rfam family: Archaeal small subunit ribosomal RNA
Source: RNAcentral
GAUCGGGGGCUGCCGCCCGCCCUAGUGAAGCUGAAAGCCCUAGUAAUCGCGUGUGAGCAGCGGGCGAUGAAUGUGUCCCUGCUCGUUGCACACACCGCCCGUCAAGCCACCUGAGUGAGGUUCAGAUGAGGCCUUGUCCCUCGGGUAAGGUCGAAUCUGAGUUUCGCAAGGGGGGCUAAGUCGUAACAAGGUAGCCGUAGGGGAACCUGCGGCUAGAUCACCUCCUA